AAAAGAGGCAAUUUAUAUACUUUUGGACAAACUAGAAUGCUCUUGCUUCUGUUUGCAAGAUAUGAUGAUGUGUAUAUAUUUUGUCUUUAAUUUGUCCAAAAUCAGGCCAGCCUUGUUGUGGAAGUGAAGGUAUGUUGAAUGAUUUUAGAAACUUGAAAGGAAUAUGUUGAUGUUAUUUUCUUCCAAUCAUUUGACAAGCAAAUCAUAUGCGUGCAAACAAUUAGCUAAGUAGUUGCAACUUUGAGGAUACGUCUUGAUUGAAUGGCUCAAAUUUGAUGGCAUUCUAACUCACCGUGCCAUCUUCAGUGGACUAAUUUUGUUUGGCAUAUGCAAGUAUACAUGCAAGUUAUGCAGCAACCUGCUCAAAUGGUUAUAAAUUUGUCAUAUUCUAUAUGACAGAAGAGCCUAUGCCAAAAAGAGAGAUGCAAUGAAACGACCCGCCCCGCAACUCCCCAGGGCGAGUCUAUCUAAACUCGUAAAAUCGAAACUAUUCUAUAAAAAAUUUCGGCAGAGUCUCCCUUAAAAAUAAAACAUAUCCAAUCCUGCAAUUUACAAAUCAACACUCCCAAAAUAAUUCAAUAUCCAACCAUCCUCCAUAAUCAACUUCUCAAAUCAACAUAUCCAUAUCAUCCUAAGAUUAAAUUACAUCGAUUACAUAAAAUAAUAAAAUAAUACAACUCGCAAAAAUCCCAAAUAUAAUACUAAUUAAAAUCCACGACUCCUAGCACCAUCACGUGGCCACAAUAUCACACUAACGUUCGCUACUGAGUUGACUGAUGUACCUGUAACUCUCCUGUGGGGGGGAAAAUAUAAAAUAAUAAAAGAGGGGUGAGUAUAAAACUCAGUGAGCUCAGUGAGUGGAUAGUAGUUACUGACAAUUUAAUAAAUUUAUUUAAAAUGAUUUAAUCUUUCUCAAAUCAAUUUCUCAAAUCGUUUCUCAAAUCAAUUUCAAUUUCUCAAAAUAUCAUAAGAACUUGCUCAAACUCAUUUAAUGCAAAUCAAUUCAUUGAAACACUAUAAUACAUAUAUUCGCAUAAAAUCGAUGGAAUCAUAUAAUACUCAUCAUAUCAAAUACUGAAGACUAAAAAUUGUCAUCAAACAAGUACCCAAGGGAUAAUCUGAUCAUAUCCGGACCUCGACGGACGGGCAAUGACGCACUAUCUGGGUAGCGUCACGCCCCGGAGCUACAACGGAUAGAUGGGGACGAUCUCAUCUCAUAUCUCAUAUAUCUGUACUGUGCAUGCAUAAGCCCCCAAAAGGCAAAAGCGCCCGAACACACGGCCCAAAGCCUCUAUGUGUGUCCCGACGGGCCCCAAAGGCCUCUAUCUCAUCUUAUCUGUAUCUCUUGUCUGUAUCUCUUUUCUCAUCUCAUAUUAUCUGUUUCUCUGUAUCUGGAGGGAAGGGUACUGUCUAAUGAUUUCAAAAAUAACAUAUACAUAAACAUAGAAUCUCAUCUGAAAUCUCAUUUUCUUUCUAUUCAACAUAUCUCAAAAUCUGCUCAAUUCUAAUAUCAUGCCUUUACUCAAAAACGCUAAUAAAAUCAUUAAUCAAACUCAUUCUCAAUAACAAUAAAGACCAACACAUAGAUAAAAAUUAAUUUGCCGGAAAAUCAUUUAAUCGAAGCAUUAAAUACUUAUCAUAAAAUCAGCAUAUACUAUGAAAAUAGGUUUUGUAUAUUCCACUCACAGUGAUGAUGUCUAGACUCGGUAUCAACAACGUUCGCGGGUUGAUUCUCGUUCGCGGAUGCGGAUCCUCCUAAUCACGGAAACACUAUAAUUAUUCUCCGUAAAUAGAAAUACAACCAAUUUAAUAUAAUAAAUCUCGAAUCAAAUCUCUAUUAACGAUAAACUAUUCCCGCAUGAGUAAAAUUACCAAAAUGCCCCUACAUGCCAAAAUUACCAAAAUACCCCCAACAUCAAUAUUUUACCAACUUAUCCUCAAACUUCAUUAUUUUACCAAAAUAUCCUCGUAUUCGUCAAUUACCAUAUUGUCCUCAAUUUAUAUUACAUAAAUUAAUCACAUUGUCUGAAAUUCCGAAAUUACCCUCGGGGCAUAAAAUUACCGAAAUGUCCUUAACGUCUUAAAUUACCGAAUUGCCCUCGAAAUCACAAAUUACUUCAUUGCCCUCACUCAAAAUUACCAAAAUGUCCACUAAUUACAUAAAAUUACAAAUUCACCCCAAAGUUUCAGGAAUUUGCCGAAUUGCCCCUGCCGGUCAACGGUGACCGGACUUCAGUCAACGACGACGGGGAGCUUAGGUCAGCUAGUUCCGACCUCGGUGAGUGCAAUGGUGCCGGCGGUGUCCUCCCACGCGCGGCGGCAACGGCGGAUCGAAGCUCCAAAAAAAAUCCGAAACUUUCCGGUGGUCGUUCGACGAUUUUCCAGCGUCCCUGGUGGUCGUGGUUGGUCAGAAAUUGUUGCUGGAGAUGUGAGGAACCAGUUCCAAGUGGUGGCGCGUCACAAACCCAGCGGAAUCAACGGCGACGGAAAAGGAUCUUGGCCGCGACUUUCGAGCUCAAAUCGUCGGCGUUCUGGUCGGUUUUCGGCGACGAGGACCACGGGGAUACGACGGUCGGCUUCCAUGCUUCAGAUCGGUACCAAGCACGACCGGUAAGGUGGCCGGAAUUAGGAGAUCCGUUUGGGUCAAUAUCGCGGGUCCGGGUCGGGUUUUCGGGUCAACGGGUCAAAAUUCCUCUCUCUCUCUCUCUCUCUCUUUCACGGGUUCUCUCACUUUGUUUUUGAAUUCAAAAACAGUUCCCCUUCACCAAUUAUACAAUCCGACCCCUUUUUUUUUUUUUUUUUUUUUUUAAGCUUAAUACAAAUUAAGCUCAAUUCGGACCCGUGAUGAAAAUAAAAUCCGACCAUCGGCGCGUGUAAUCGCGCUUAAUUUAUUUCAAUAAAUUAUCGUGACGAAUUUAAAAAAUCAUAAGUGAAGAGGAAAAAUUAAAUCGCACUCUUAAUUAAGAAAUCCGAAGUGCAUAUGUUACAUGCAAUUAAUGAUUGUUUUUGAAAAUUUACAACUUUGGGUGAUUGCUGAUUGAGGGGAUGUAUAUUUUUAUCAUGCGAAAAACAAUAAGAACAGAAGUGUCCUUAUCAUUUAACAAUCAAAGGAAUCUUAUGGUUGAAAGCGAGCCUCCAUCAACAUAUAUUUGGUGAGUUCUCUAUGAAA
This 3169-nucleotide long non-coding RNA is filed under the name Citrus x clementina. RNAcentral's name for it is "Citrus clementina (C. clementina) long non-coding RNA (CCLE_LNC000607)". The record is from RNAcentral. Lineage: Eukaryota; Viridiplantae; Streptophyta; Magnoliopsida; Sapindales; Rutaceae.